Long non-coding RNA from Scomber scombrus (Atlantic mackerel), 257 nucleotides. RefSeq lists it as uncharacterized. The transcript is spliced from 3 exons. NCBI's taxonomy places the organism in Eukaryota, Metazoa, Chordata, Actinopteri, Scombriformes, Scombridae. The record is from RefSeq and is a predicted model, not a curated record.
CCUUUUUUGAGAGGGCACAGUUUUAUGGCGUUUUCAAGAAGGUCAUGAGGCCUCCACUGUUGGACAAAGCACAGCAGUCAAUCGCCCUGAUGAAGGCAUUGCCAGACUUAUUUCCAUCACCUGUGGCUCCACCCAAGAAGUUGGGACAUGCAAGUGAGGCUUUGCUUCACAUCCUUAAGCCUACAGAAGACCCCAACACCUUUCUAUGAGCAAGACCACUCUCCAGCCCGGUCGUUGUUGUCUGUGAAACUAACUGC